CCUACGGGGGGCUGCAGUAGGGAAUCUUCCACAAUGGGCGAAAGCCUGAUGGAGCAACGCCGCGUGGGUGAAGAAGGUCUUCGGAUCGUAAAACCCUGUUGUUAGAGAAGAAAGUGCGUGAGAGUAACUGUUCACGUUUCGACGGUAUCUAACCAGAAAGCCACGGCUAACUACGUGCCAGCAGCCGCGGUAAUACGUAGGUGGCAAGCGUUAUCCGGAUUUAUUGGGCGUAAAGAGUUCGUAGGCGGUAUGUUAAGUCUGGUGUUAAAUGCAGAAGCUCAACUUCUGUUCGGCACUGGAUACUGGCAAACUAGAAUGCGGUAGAGGUAAAGGGAAUUCCUGGUGUAGCGGUGAAAUGCUUAGAUAUCAGGAGGAACAUCGGUGGCGUAAGCGCUUUACUGGGCCGUAAUUGACGCUGAGGAACGAAAGCCAGGGUAGCAAAUGGGAUUAGAUACCCUUGUAGUC
This 465-nucleotide ribosomal RNA is filed under the name uncultured bacterium. RNAcentral describes it as "partial 16S ribosomal RNA". It matches the Rfam family "Bacterial small subunit ribosomal RNA", at positions 338 to 795 of the family's 1533-position model. The record is from RNAcentral.